GACGAACGCUGGCGGCGUGCUUAACACAUGCAAGUCGAACGGAAAGGCCCUGCUUUUGUGGGGUGCUCGAGUGGCGAACGGGUGAGUAACACGUGAGUAACCUGCCCUUGACUUUGGGAUAACUUCAGGAAACUGGGGCUAAUACCGGAUAGGAGCUCCUGCUGCAUGGUGGGCGUUGGAAAGUUUCGGCGGUUGGGGAUGGACUCGCGGCUUAUCAGCUUGUUGGUGGGGUAGUGGCUUACCAAGGCUUUGACGGGUAGCCGGCCUGGGAGGGGGACCGGCCACAUUGGGACUGAGAUACGGCCCAGACUCGAACGGGAGGCAACGGUGGAGAAUAUUACACAGUGGGCGGGAGCCUGAUGUAGCAACGCCGCGUGCGGGAUGACGGCCUUGGGGUUGUAAACCGCUGUCGCCUGUGACGAGGCGUGAGUGACGGUAAUGGGUAAAGAAGCACCGGCUAACUACGUG
Molecule: ribosomal RNA, 468 nt
Filed under: uncultured bacterium
Lineage: Bacteria
Description: partial 16S ribosomal RNA
Rfam family: Bacterial small subunit ribosomal RNA
Source: RNAcentral